This 242-nucleotide long non-coding RNA is filed under the name Mytilus galloprovincialis (Mediterranean mussel). Lineage: Eukaryota; Metazoa; Mollusca; Bivalvia; Mytilida; Mytilidae. The record is from RNAcentral.
UCGGCCUGUCUGUCUGUCUGUCUGUCUGUCUGUGUGAUCGAAACACCAAAUCAAAGAUUUCAAUUGGUUGGCACCUAAGUACUCGAAAGUUAACUGGUCUCAUGAUACGAUACGAACAUUUCACGUUUUAUGUUACCAUUAAUACCAAAUGCAGGAUUGAUUGAGAUUUUUUUUGUAUGUCUGUUGUAUUCAUUUUCGUAUAAAGCUGGGGAAAAUAAUUCCUUAAUAUAGCAAUGAAAAUG